AACGAACGCUGGCGGCAUGCCUAACACAUGCAAGUCGAACGAGACCUUCGGGUCUAGUGGCGCACGGGUGCGUAACGCGUGGGAACCUGCCCUUAGGUUCGGAAUAACUCCCCGAAAGGGGUGCUAAUACCGGAUAAUGUCUUCGGACCAGAGAUUUAUCGCCUUUGGAUGGGCCCGCGUUGGAUUAGCUAGUUGGUAGGGUAAAAGCCUACCAAGGCGACGAUCCAUAGCUGGUCUGAGAGGAUGAUCAGCCACACUGGGACUGAGACACGGCCCAGACUCCUACGGGAAGCAGCAGUGGGGGAUAUUGGACAAUGGGCGAAAGCCUGAUCCAGCAAUGCCGCGUGAGUGAUGAAGGCCUUAGAGUUGUAAAGCUCUUUUACCCGGGAUGAUAAUGACAGUACCGGGAGAAUAAGCUCCGGCUAACUCCGUG
Molecule: ribosomal RNA, 433 nt
Filed under: uncultured bacterium
Lineage: Bacteria
Description: partial 16S ribosomal RNA
Rfam family: Bacterial small subunit ribosomal RNA
Source: RNAcentral